ACUUGAUGCUGUUUAUGACGUCGAAUAUCGACGUCAUAAACACCGAACGUGAUGGUGUUUAUGACGUCGAAUAUCGAUCAAGUUUGGUGUUUAUGACGUCGAUAUUCGACGUCAUAAACACGA
RNAcentral lists this microRNA precursor (123 nucleotides) under Paramuricea clavata. The record is from RNAcentral. Lineage: Eukaryota; Metazoa; Cnidaria; Anthozoa; Malacalcyonacea; Plexauridae.